CCCUGCACAUAUAAAAGCCAUGUUUACACCACAGCGUGAUCUAUAAAGUGUGCAAUAGCAUUACGUUUAAAAAAAAGUACCUCCCUUAAUUUAAAAGGACAAAAUUAUACAAAAAUUACAAUAGUAACUAUCAAAGAUCGCAGAUCAUCGUAACAAAUGUAGCAGCAAUGAAAACGGCUGCAACAGUGUGAGAAUUCCCAACAUGUGACACAGAGACAUGAAGUGAGCAAAUGCUGUUGGGAAAAUGGCAGGAUUGCCACAAACCUGUGACUUGUAAAAAACGUACUAUCUGUGAUGCACAAUGAAACGAUGACAAACCAAUCCACGACCAUUUCCUGACAACCUACUGUGAGCUCAGUCCCGGGCUGCACGCGUAUGAAGGAUGAUUGCAAGCCCACCUCCUGGACCGAGCCCACCACGGAGGUCCCUGACCGCCUACUGCUGGUUCAUUGACUUGUUCGUGCAGCAAACCAUGGCUGAGCACCAGCCACAGAGCUCCUGUGCUAGAUUUUGGAGUUGAACUUGACUCCAGGAGGGACCAUUUCCAUCACUCAUGCGCAUAUGGUGUUUUUUCAUUCUCAGAGCUCUUGCCCUGAGAGGGCAUUCAAUCCCCACAAUGACCCAGGAAAGAUGGGGGUGGGUGUCCCACGCUCUCCCACUGCACUGAAGUCCCGAGGGUUUAAGAGACUCAACCCCGAUCACAAGGAAGAAGGGUGACUUGAACCCUGGGCUUCUCUCCUCUUUCAGCUACAAAUCUUUGCCUCCCUGUGAGGGAUGUGAGGGCCCUGUUAGAACAAGAUCCCUGUAGGUGGGUGGCCUCAAAGGACCCGGCUGUGUGGGAGGCAAAGGGCAGGCAUCUCACUAAUGCACCCAGAACCGAGCUUCUCAAGGUCAGUGCCGCCCGUCCAUGGGGCUGAGUCCAGUUCCCAACACGAGUCAAGAAUCCACAACAAAAGCCUACAACAUGAAACAAAAGCCUCUGUGUUGCUGAGAAGGAACGCUGGAAAGUGAUCAAGGGCAGGUCAGACUCAGAGAAACCCUGAGCCACCAUAAACGGAGUGCUCUAGUGUGCCUCUACUUUCUCAUCUGCAAAGUGGGAAUAACAGCCCAUCCCUUCUGAAUAGAAUUCAGUGGGAUCAAGGGUCAGGCACGGUAUCUGGUAGGAAGUGAGUGCCCCACGUUCCCUCUUUUUACCUAAGGGGACCCGCCGUGCCACCACGUUUGUUGCUUUUAAUUGAGGUGCAAUUCACAUCGAACCGAACCAAUCAUUUUAAAGUCUACAAUUUGGUGUUGCUUUGAACAUUCACAACGUUGUACAAUCAUCACCUCUAGCUGCUCAACAUUUCCACCCCCCAAAUAAAACCUCGUACCCACGAAGUGGGUACUCGCCCUGGCCCCCCGCCCCCAGCAACCACCAAUUUGCAUUGUCUUUAUGGAUUUACCUACUCUAGGUAUUUAGGUGGAAUCAUAGGUGACCCUUUAUGUCUGGCUUCUUUUACCAACCAUAAUGUUUCCGAGGUUUGUCCAUGUUGGAGCAGGGCAGUAGCUCAUUCCUUCUCAUGGCUGAAUAACAGUCCAUUGCAUGUGUGUGUGUUGAAUUCAUUGCUGGGCCAUACGGUAAUUUCAUAUUUCACGGAACUGUCUUUCACAAUGGCUGCACAAUUUUAUGUUCACACCAGCAAUGCACAAGGGCUCCCAUUUCUCCACAUCCUCGGCAACACUUGUUUGUUGUUGCUGUUGUUGAUGAAAGCCACCCUAGCAGGUAUUAAGAAGGGCUACCUCGGGGCUGUGAUUUGUGUUUCCACCUUUUCCCGUGCUCGCUGGCCACCGGCAUAUCUUCUCUGGAGAAAUGUCCAUUCAAGUCCUUGGCUCCUUUUUUAAUGGCGUUGUUCAUCUCUUUGGGGUUGAGGUCUCUGCAAAGGCGUAACAAACGCCUAUGCUGCCUCAAGACUACGGAUCUGGUGGUGACCAGGCAGCCAGGGGCCGGGGGUGGACGGAGCUGCUGGAGAAGGUCUGGGAAAGGUAGAGACAUGAUUACAACAGCCUGGGGAGCGGGACUGGGAGGGAGGUUAGUGGCAAACGAGAAGGAGAGACUGUGGGUGACUUAACACUCUUAUUGGGGUUCACGUUGCUUGGAGUGGCUGAGAACGUGAUGUCAGCAUCGGUCUCCCUCUGGCUCCCACUCCACGGUGGAGAUACAGAAGGACAUGUUAGGCCAGGCAGAAGGAAAUGCUUCCAGGACAGACAGCUUUCUGAGGCCCAAAACCUGCAGAACCUGCAAACACCUGGCACGGAGCACAGACCACCCAUGGGGCAGACUGACCCUCAGGCCACCAUGCCCCGUGGAAACACCUUCACCAAAGCGGUGGAACUGGCCACGGGCACACAUGGCCCAGCCUUCACCUUGACACCCUUGACGCCAAAGGGCACACACCGGGCCUAGCUCCAUGGACCACGUUUUCUGAUCAUCCUACGUGCAGAGGGAAUCCUGGCUUGAGCAUGAGGUGCUGGGAGCAAAGGCAAUACCGACACCAUGCUUGACCCCGAGGGGCUCGCAGCUGGCAGAGAGAAGGCCGGGGAGACCACCCACUCCAAACCAGUGGAGCAUGGGCACGCCACAGACACCAGCACCUAAAGGACAGCAGGACCAGGUAACUUGGGCUGAGCCUGCAAGUUACCAAGGAAGGGAGAGGAGGACAUGAGAGCAACCCUGUAUUUGGAGCCAGUGGAUCUGGGCUCAAUCCUAAUGCCGCCAUCCACAACAUGCUGAAUUCUGGCAAAUUCCUUUACUGCUCAGAGCCCUCCCUUCCUCAUGGUUCACAGUGGGGAUAAUGCAGUGUCCCCACCGGGGCAGCUGUGAGAUAACGCGGGGCAGCACUGCUACCUGUGAGAGCUCUGCAGCCUCUCCCUGGGUUCAAAUCCCCCCUGGGCCACUUACUGGCUGAGGGAUCCAUCCAUGGCAGAUAACCUAAUCCCCCGAGCCUCAGGUUCUUCAUGUGUAAAACGGGAGUGGUGAUAUAUCAGCGAUCUUUAGGGAAGCUGUGUCCGCGUCAUGGAUCAACACACGUGGAGAGCCCCAGGAAGUGCUGCCCAAUUCAGCUCUGACAAUUAUAUACCCUUCAGAAAAACAAUCUUUCUUCCUAAACUGUCUAUGUGUUUAGUAUAGAUUUCUGCACAGUGAGCUGAGACCCAGCUCCAAAUGCUCAAACUGCUGAGUCGCAGAGUUUUUUUUCUUAGCAUAUAGUUGAUGUACAUACAGUGUUGUGUCAAUUUCCGCUGUACAGCAGAGCGACCCAGCCACACAAAGAUAUACAUUCCUUUUCUCAUGCCAUCUUCCACUUCAUGCUCUACCCCAAGAGACUGGACAUAGGUCCCUGCACUGAACGGUGGCGGGGGGAGCCGAAUUUUAAAACAGGUGUCAUCUGAGGAAAGAGACUCCCCCUUCAAGGCAGUGAAGAGAUGGCCACGGGCCCAUGGCUCACCCCACUAGAGGCAUCUGAUCCCGGUCUCUUCCAAAGGCUGGCGGCACCCCUGCCCCCUUCCAACCAUCCGCACUGAGCCCCACCCAUUCUUUAUCCAGAGUGAAACCAGCACCGCCCAGGGAUCUGCAGUGAGGUUCGGUUAAAACAGUUUAUGGAAAGGAAAGCCUCGCUUUCUGUCUCUGCCUAAGAUAAGAAGAAUCUGAGACGAGAAAGAAGCCAAGACGUGGCCCCCCCUCCACCCCGGCCACCCCGAAGCCCUGACCCCUGCUCACAAGCGGCUGAGGCUCAGCUCUGGCCUCAGGGCUCUGCCUUGGGGCAAGUUCCUUCACCUCCCUAAGGCCUCGGUCUCCUCGUCUGUAAAACAAUGACCACACAGGGGUUGUCAGAUGGCCAGAAAUAAGGCGCCCUAAGCAGCGCCUGGCUCGCAGUGACCAGAGUCCCCCCCCAAGGGACUCGAGCGUUACACUUCACAGCCCCUGCAGUGGUCCCGUUCAUGGUUCACGACCCCGGGACCCAGCCCCGAGGAGCAUUGCCAGGCCAGCCGGUCAAGCCUGGACGCCGAGGCAGCGGCCACUCUGCUCUGAUGGGCGGGUCAGGAGCACUGCAGGCAGGAGGCAGUAUUCCCCGGGGAGGGAGCUCCCCAUACAGAUGUGCCCGAUCCACACAACAGACACGGGCCUGGAAAAAGCCAUGUCCAGAACAAAGGUCCAUGGCCACCAACCAUAGCUCUGGAGAAGUCCCGCAGAAGACAUGGGCAGAGGCGGAGACUGAAGGCGGAGGUCAGGGGGUUCCGGGAGUCCUGCCUGUUGGGCCUCCUCUGCAUCCCUCACGGUCCAGGGCAGGUGCAGGAGCAGAUGGGGGCCCGUGGGCCCAACCUGCCCCAGACCUCCGAGCGCAGGCCCUGGGACUGACAAACUGCAGGAGGCCGAGUAAAGCCCACAUCCCCGUCCCUUCCAGAAUCCUCAAUGGCGGUGCCUUUGUCACAGCUCCUGCAAGCAAGCUUGCCCCACCAAUCCGCUAGCACGGGAAAGCCUUCCCGUGACCUCUACCGCCCUCCGCACACACAGAGUCUGUCUGCUCCCUAGUACAGGGGUUCACAGCACAGGCCCUGGCAGCCACUUUUAGCUGUGUGACCUCAGAAACUACACUCAGCCUCUCUGAUCUUGUUUCUCUCAUCUGUAAAAUGGGGCUAAUUAUAGCACUGCAAGCCUAGGAUGACUGCGGGAAUUAAAUCAUAGAAUAGAGGAGGCCUGAUUCACAUUGCCCAGGACUUAAUAAGAACUAGACGAAUGUCGGUUCUGAUUAUUAGUUACUAAUCUAAUUACUAUCAUCAGGAAGUCAUUUAAUUUUGCCAGUGCCACCGGUACAGGCUUCAUGGGGUGUCAAGCUGACAGCUAUUUCCCUGCAACAGAGAACAGCUCAGAAAAGAGGGAAGGAUCAGCCUUCUUUGUCAGCUUCCUACAAGCAGCACUAUUUCCGGUCACAAUUUCCCACCCACCCUACAAAACAGAGGCCCCU
RNAcentral lists this long non-coding RNA (5000 nucleotides) under Sus scrofa (pig). RNAcentral's name for it is "lncRNA (ENSSSCG00015029524.1)". Lineage: Eukaryota; Metazoa; Chordata; Mammalia; Artiodactyla; Suidae. The record is from RNAcentral.